RNAcentral lists this ribosomal RNA (838 nucleotides) under uncultured bacterium. Its description in RNAcentral is "bacterial SSU rRNA". It matches the Rfam family "Bacterial small subunit ribosomal RNA", at positions 524 to 1381 of the family's 1533-position model. The record is from RNAcentral.
UACCCCUUAUGCAAGCGUUAUCCGGAAUUAUUGGGCGUAAAGCGUUUGUAGGCGGGCGAGUGUGUUUAAUGUUAAAUCUUAAAGCUCAACUUUGAAAUUGCGUUAAAAACUGCUUGUCUUGAGUAUGGUAGGGGUAAAGGGAAUUCCCAGUGUAGCGGUGAAAUGCGUAGAUAUUGGGAAGAACACUAAACAGCGAAGGCACUUUACUAGGCUAAUACUGACGCUGAGAAACGAAAGGUAAGGUAGCGAAACGGAUUAGAUACCCGUGUAGUCUUACCCGUAAACUAUGGACACUAAACGGUAAAUUUUUAAUUUACUGUUAAAGCUAACGCGUUAAGUGUCCCGCCUGGGGAGUAUGCUUGCAAAAGUGAAACUCAAAGGAAUUGACGGGGGCCCGCACAAGCGGUGGAGCAUGUGGUUUAAUUCGACGGUACACGAAGAACCUUACCAGGAUUUGACAUGCUAGAUAGUUGCUUGAAAGAGUAACGUGCCGUAAGGAAUCUAGACACAGGUGGUGCAUGGCUGUCGUCAGUUCGUGUUGUGAAAUGUUGGGUUAAGUCCCGCAACGAACGCAACCCUUGUCUUUAGUUAUUUUCUAAAGAGACUGCCUGUAAUAAACAGGAGGAAGGUAAGGAUGAGGUCAAGUCAUCAUGCCCCUUAUGUCCUGGGCUACACACGUGCUACAAUGGGAAAGACAAUGAGCUGCAAAUCUGUAAAUUUAAGCAAAUCUCUUAAACUUUCUCGUAGUUCGGAUUGUGGGCUGCAACUCGCCCACAUGAAGUUGGAAUCGCUAGUAAUCGCCAGUCAGCUAUAUGGCGGUGAAUCCGUUCCCGGGCCU